Long non-coding RNA from Passer domesticus (house sparrow), 4615 nucleotides. RefSeq lists it as uncharacterized. The transcript has 3 exons. The record is from RefSeq and is a predicted model, not a curated record. NCBI's taxonomy places the organism in Eukaryota, Metazoa, Chordata, Aves, Passeriformes, Passeridae.
GUUGUAUCUGUACGUGCAGAAAGAAGGCAUUACAGUGAGGAGCUGUUAGUGAUACACUGACAGUGGCCACCUAUUUACUUACACACAGGCUCUGCACCUCUGAGCUGAGCCAAAGGACAUCAAAGCAGUCUAAAAGCCAAAAGUAUAAACCCACUACACAUUCAGUUUCUGAGGUAUCAGUACCAGAGCUACUCAGACCCAAACCCAACAGGUUUGCAUUAAAUUGUGCAUCCUUCAUUUGUAUUUCAUAACUGCUUCCCUUAUUUGCACCUUAAUUUCUUGUCAAUUACUCCUAAAGGUACAUGCUAUUAAGAGUCUGACAAAGUUUACACAUUUUAGUCCCACAGAAUUCAGUAUCAUUAACUGGGAUUUUAUUCUCCAUUCUGCACUGCCAGCUGCAUUUCAGAACUUGAAAAGAAAAUUUUCUGAAAAGCAUUUUUUACUAGGUUUUAAGUCUUGGGUCUUUUCCUUCUGGUAUGAAGCUGAUUAACUUUAUAAUUCCAUAAUCCCAAGGGUAAAUGUCCUUAUAGAAUUGAUAGCUUCCACUCUGAUCCUUCCAUUUGCUACAUUCUACUCUUCAGACUGGAUUCAGUUUCUUGAGUUAACCAGAGAAAAAUUCUGACAAGUUUAACUCUUAAGAUCAGUAUAGCAACUCAUUUACUAAUUGGUUUUCUUCUUGAAAAUAUGCUACCAUACAAGUCUUUGAAUUUUAACUUAUAGUAAAAUACUCAUAGAUAAAUGCUCAGGGGUAACCAGCCAUAUCUUUCAUUUCCUAAAUCCAAGGUAAAACAACAACAAAAAAAAUUAAUAGGUGAUCAUCAUAAGAAGACAAAGCUACAGUCAAGACUACAUAUUUUCUCACUUUCCCUAGCAAUGAUGAAAUUUUGAGAUUUGGAGACAGAAAACCAUCCCUCAUUCCCUUCCUUCACAAGCAGGAGGCACAACAGCUGAAAUCACUAAUAAGGAGGUGAGUGGAAAAAAGCUGAGCCACAAAUGAGGAGAAGCUGAUGCACAGCAUCCUCAACUUGAACACCUUCUCUUUGCAGAAGGAGCUACAGCAUUCAGGCACUUCAGAAGUUACAUGGCUGGACUAUACCAGACACUGAACUGAGAGAAAAAGGCCAUUUUAAUAAUUCUUAGUCUGGGCAGAGAAAUAAUAUUAGACCACAGAUGUCCAUGUAACUUCUCCAUCACUCCUUUGCUGUCUACUGCUCAAGGUAAAAGCAAUUCUCAAAUCUUCCUCAGUCUGUGACAUGUGCUGAGCCACAGGCCACUGCAUACACUGCAAGAAGUUUUCAAUGGCUCAACACUGAAAAACAGGUACCAAAUAACUCAGUCAAACAGAAGGUCAGAAAUUCUUCUGUACAGGUUUUACAACCAGAGGAUUGCAGUAGCAACAAAUAACUCAUAUUUGGGAAAAUAAUUUUUCAUGCAAUCCAUCUGUUACACAAAAGCAUGAAGGUUUUAUGUAGUUAAGUACAAAAAAUUAGUUACCAACAGCAGUGUAUGCCUACAGUUUUCUACUUGCCAUAGCUAUUCUCAAUAUUUAAAGAGCUAAUCCUGUGGAAGUCUAGGAAAAGGGUAUUGCUAAAGUUAAUACGGAAGGUGCACAGCAGACAGCCACACACACAAUUAUGUAUGUUAUACUCACUUUUCCUUGUCUGACUUGUAGAUCUGUGCAAUAUCUGGUACUAAAGGAUCAUCUGGAUUAGGAUCACAAAGUAAGGAGCAUAUGGACAAUAAAACUAAAUAAAAGAGACACUAGAUUAAACAAGUUAGUGUUUAUUUCUACAAUCCUUUAAUAUAUUCCAGUAUACUGAAGGAGGUGGGAGGAGGGUAUAGGGAAAAGAAUGCAUAUUAGGAUUAAGCUGUCAUUUAACAGUUUUGUCCAGAAAUGUUUAUACAGCAUCAUUUUUCCAGGGCCUAAGCAAACACCUGAUACAAGCCCAGGGAAUCUGCAGCCAUGCACCUGUACCUUUUGUAAUGAUCUCUUCACAUCCAAGCCUAGGACCCCACCUGCAGACUACAGGCUGAUAGACACUGUGCUGUAGAAACUUGAAUGACCACAUGCAAGUACUUCCUUUGAAAUAAGUUAAAGGGUGUGUGUCUUAAAUAUUUCAACUCAAUUUACCAUGGACCCAACACCUAAAUUCAGGCAGACUUACAGCUCCACUGUUGGCCCUGAAAUCAAAGAAAAGCACUGCACCAUAUCUUACUCCUGCUCUGAAGUGACUUCUCACAAUCUCAUGAUUUAAACAAGACAGACACUUUCUCCUAUACUGAAACAGCACAGGUUGUCAGCUGGCAUUACUUGUCUGCACUUUAACUUUAUUCUGCUGGUGACACUGCAUGCUGAUCCAGAAAGAACACUCUGGGCUGGACUUGAACUAAUACAGGCACUUUAGAAAUGCAGUUCCUAUUUUAAUCAGAGGACUCAUGUUUCGUUAAGGAGUGAUUCAGAGAACCAGCUAUUUAUGCAAAGCCAAGCCACUGCCAGUACACACAGGCAGUCAACAAAUCUCAGGUUUCCAGCAGUCCCAGAGACAAACAUGGCCAGCAGCAGAGCUGUUACUGGCACUGCCUUCUCGAAUUUGCAACUCAAGAUCUGACCCAACAACAGAAGAUUAAGUCUUGUACACACACUAAAACAACCCAACCAAGACCAAACAGCUGCACUACAGUGCUGGAACAAGAACUCUGCCUAACAAUCAUGCAUUUUGCAACAGUCAUUAUUGACUACUAAAUUCAAGGCAGGAACUGGAAAAAUAUGUAGCUUGAACUUUUCAGAAAGUCUUUGAAGUAUAUGUAAACAUUCCACAUGCACACGGGAACUACCAGGCAACCAGUCAGAGUCACAGGUCUGUAACAGUGCUUUUGUUGCUAGAUGUAUUCAUCAAGAUCUUUACAUACCCCAAAACCACACAAGUUUAUUUUCUUUCAUAUAUACACUUGUACUUAAGAAUUAACAGAACUGGGGAAUGCUCCUCAGGUGUACACUUCAAUUUGUUCAGGCUAAAAAGGCACUGACAUCUGUUUAUUAUUAGAAAAAAACAGCAAAUAUUUUUCAUCAUACAUUGAUGAGACCCACAACUAUAAAUCACUGUUAAUAAAAUUUCCUAACAACAAUGAAGAAAAGGUUCUCUUCAAUCAACUUCACCAAAUGAGAGCGAUGUUCACAAAUACAUUCUGAGACCUUCUGCAGCUGUGAAACAUAAAGCCAGAUCAAACUUCAAAAUCAGUAGAGCAAAUUCAAGCUGCAUUUUGCAUCCAUAUGUAAAGCUAAUGUGGUUUAAAAAUACAAGUGGUAACACGAUCCAACAGCAUGAACAGUUUGAAUCUUUAUAUACAGAAAUUCAGAUCAAGCUGUGAUAAAAAGGAAGAACUAUUCAGAUUUACAUUGUUGAUUAUGCUGUUUAAGCUUUAGGUUCAAAGCAGAAUUAUCUGAAGAGCUGUAAGAUUUAGGCUUCAAGCUUUCCUACACUUUUUGAAAUGGGGCAAGCAGAUACCCAGAUGUCCCUGAAUCAGACUGACCUGCCAGUGCCCAGAGUUGAACAAUGCAGAACAGAAAUGAGGAUCCUCUAAAUACAUGUAGAAAGACUUCUUCAUGACUUCAUUUAUUCACAAAAGAAUGAGAAUACAAAAAUUCUCAAUACAAAGCACAGAUGCUCUUUAGAAGAAGGCCAAAACUUUGCUUUGUAAAGGGACAAGGCUGAAGAUUCACAAAGUUUAACAUGCUGAAACCUCAUCAAGAAGCACAAGCUAACUGCACGUGAGGCACUAGACAGUCAACUAGAGAUUGCCCUGUAAUUUUAAGUUAAGCAGCUUUGUCCAAGCUUUAUGGAUUAUUACCAUGUAGCUGCAUGGUCUGGUCACUUCCAGGGUCUGCACGAAUACUUUUAGCCACUGGUAUAGAAAGUGCUGGUGCAAGAUGCACAUUUGCUGACAAACAGGAUCCACAGCUCAUUUUCAGAUUCAUUUUCAACAGAAAAGGUCACCAGUGUACACUGGUGCAACAUCAUUUAUGAGAAUACACAACCCCAAGAUUCUGUCUGCAAGAGAUGCAUCAGAAGGAGGAGUGAUUUCCAACACUGUAACAUAAAAUGAAUGUAACAACAUAAAAGCACCUCUCAAGAGCUGCAACACAUGCCACACUACCCCAGCACAGCCAGGAUCAACGAGCACGGAGAAAAAUACCUAAGCUGGGGACAGCGGUAGGAAUAAAUCCUCUAAUCCUCUCUACAAAACAUUUCAGGGUAGAAUAGAAUGCUAAUGGUUAACACACUACUGGAGAUGGGCAAAGCCUCCAAAUUAUCCCUUCCCUUGCACCACACGUGCUCCUGAACAGCCCUAUAGACAGCAUGAAGCACAAAUUCAAGUUUAACAGCUGUAAAAAACAGGCUGUGGUAAGCUAUGAAUGUUGGAGACGUUUCUGAAUGUGCAGAAAAUACCCACGGUCAAAGAAUAAUACAGGAUGUAUUUCAUAAGAAGUUGAAGACUGCAAGGCCAAUUUAACACUUACAUGCUUGAUCAGCAUUCAGGCUUUUCUCCCAAAAAGCUACUGGAACAACAUUGUAAAGGAUAUUUUGGUAGUAAGGAAAUAAAUCUUUUCAGCAUA